This 465-nucleotide ribosomal RNA is filed under the name uncultured bacterium. Its description in RNAcentral is "bacterial SSU rRNA". It matches the Rfam family "Bacterial small subunit ribosomal RNA", at positions 328 to 803 of the family's 1533-position model. The record is from RNAcentral.
CUACGGAACUCCUACGGGAGGCAGCAGUGGGGAAUAUUGCACAAUGGGCGAAAGCCUGAUGCAGCGACGCCGCGUGAGGGAUGACGGCCUUCGGGUUGUAAACCUCUUUCAGUAGGGAAGAAGCCUUCGGGUGACGGUACCUGCAGAAGAAGCGCCGGCUAACUACGUGCCAGCAGCCGCGGUAAUACGUAGGGCGCAAGCGUUGUCCGGAAUUAUUGGGCGUAAAGAGCUCGUAGGCGGUUUGUCGCGUCUGCUGUGAAAACGCAAGGCUUAACCUUGCGCCUGCAGUGGGUACGGGCAGACUAGAGUGCGGUAGGGGAGACUGGAAUUCCUGGUGUAGCGGUGGAAUGCGCAGAUAUCAGGAGGAACACCGAUGGCGAAGGCAGGUCUCUGGGCCGUUACUGACGCUGAGGAGCGAAAGCAUGGGGAGCGAACAGGAUUAGAUACCCCUGUAGUCCUCUUCGA